RNAcentral lists this ribosomal RNA (311 nucleotides) under uncultured bacterium. RNAcentral describes it as "bacterial SSU rRNA". It matches the Rfam family "Bacterial small subunit ribosomal RNA", at positions 1 to 318 of the family's 1533-position model. The record is from RNAcentral.
UAGAGUUUGAUCCUGGCUCAGGUUGAACGCUGGCGGAGUGCUUUACACAUGCAAGUCGAACGGUGACACGGGUGCUUGGCUCCGGCGGCAAUUGGGGAAAGGGGGAGAAUUGCGUCUGAACGUACCGCCCCAAGGGGGAUAACACGCGUUAGAUACCACUUCUACCACCUAAUCCCAGACGGGAAAGGUGCUUCAUCGCAAGACCUCAAUUUCUUCUCGCGAUGAACUCCUGAUUUAUUAGCUGGUGGGGGAAUGAAUCACCAACGCAAGCAUCAACAGCGAGUCUGACAGAAAGAUCCACCACACUGGCA